AUUGAACGCUGGCGGCAUGCUUUAUACAUGCAAGUCGGGCGGCAGGACAGGGAGGUUUGCUUCAUGGGUGGAGAGUGGCGCAUGGGUGGGUACUACAUAGGAACGUACCGAGAUAUGGGGGGUAACUACUGGAAAGAUUGGUUCAUCCCGCAUAUUCUCUGAGGCGGCUAGAAGGGGAGUUGACGGCCUUGAGUUCUUCGCGGGUGCGGUAUGUGUUUAGCUAGUUGGUGGGGUAAAUGACUACCAAGGCGACGAUCAGUAGCGGGUGGUAGAGGAUGAUCCGCCACACUGGGACUGUGACACGGCCCAGACUCCUACGGGAGGGACCAGUGUGGAAGGUUGGGCAAUGGGCGCAAGCCUGAUCCAGCCAUGCCGCGUUUCGGAUGAAGGCCUUCGGAUUGUAAAGGACUUUUGUCAUGGAAGAAAAAACUGUUCCUAAUAUCGACAGCUGGUGACGGUACCUGAUGAAGAAGCACCGGCUAACUACGUG
This 490-nucleotide ribosomal RNA is filed under the name uncultured bacterium. Its description in RNAcentral is "partial 16S ribosomal RNA". It matches the Rfam family "Bacterial small subunit ribosomal RNA", at positions 30 to 507 of the family's 1533-position model. The record is from RNAcentral.